AUUGAACGCUGGCGGCAGGCCUAACACAUGCAAGUCGAACGAGUGGCGGACGGGUGAGUAAUGUCUGGGAAACUGCCCGAUGGAGGGGGAUAACUACUGGAAACGGUAGCUAAUACCGCGUACCCUCGGAUGUGCCCAGAUGGGAUUAGCUUGUAGGUGGGGUAACGGCUCACCUAGGCGACGAUCCCUAGCGGGUCUGAGAGGAUGACCAGCCACACUGUACCUGAGCCACGGUCCAGACUCCUACGGGAGGCAGAAGUGGGGAAUAUUGCACAAUGUGCGCAAGCCUGAUGCGGCCAUGCCGCGUGUAUGAAGAAGGCCUUCGGGUUGGAAAGUACUUUCAGCGGGGAGGCGUUACCCGCAGAAGAAGCACCGGCUAACUCCGUGCCAGCAGCCGCGGUAAUUC
RNAcentral lists this ribosomal RNA (406 nucleotides) under uncultured bacterium. RNAcentral describes it as "partial 16S ribosomal RNA". It matches the Rfam family "Bacterial small subunit ribosomal RNA", at positions 30 to 526 of the family's 1533-position model. The record is from RNAcentral.